This is a long non-coding RNA of Piliocolobus tephrosceles (Ugandan red Colobus), 282 nucleotides long. RefSeq lists it as uncharacterized. The record is from RefSeq and is a predicted model, not a curated record. Lineage: Eukaryota; Metazoa; Chordata; Mammalia; Primates; Cercopithecidae. The transcript has 3 exons.
CAGAACGACAGCUUUAUAUGUUCGCUAAAUAUUAAUUCGGAUGAUAGUAGUGUUCUUAAACAGAAUUUAAAGGGAGUCUGCAUAAGAGCACCUUACAUAAAGCAUAUUUUAUCUGAUAAUGUAAAAAUUCUUGCAUUUUUUUCACAUGAACCAGUCGGAUCAAACAUCAUAGGAGGUGUUGAAGAAGACAAUUGCAUGGGGACCGUUUUUCAUCCAGAGUUAAUGCCGUGUUAUUAUUUUCAUAAUUAUUUUUUAGAGAAGGUCAAAAAUAAUAAAAAAAAA